This 460-nucleotide ribosomal RNA is filed under the name uncultured bacterium. RNAcentral's name for it is "partial 16S ribosomal RNA". It matches the Rfam family "Bacterial small subunit ribosomal RNA", at positions 338 to 795 of the family's 1533-position model. The record is from RNAcentral.
CCUACGGGAGGCAGCAGUGAGGAAUAUUGGUCAAUGGACGAGAGUCUGAACCAGCCAAGUAGCGUGAAGGAUGACUGCCCUAUGGGUUGUAAACUUCUUUUAUAUGGGAAUAAAAUGUUCCACGUGUGGGAUUUUGUAUGUACCAUAUGAAUAAGGAUCGGCUAACUCCGUGCCAGCAGCCGCGGUAAUACGGGGGAUCCGAGCGUUAUCCGGAUUUAUUGGGUUUAAAGGGAGCGUAGGUGGAUUGUUAAGUCAGUUGUGAAAGUUUGCGGCUCAACCGUAAAAUUGCAGUUGAAACUGGCAGUCUUGAGUACAGUAGAGGUGGGCGGAAUUCGUGGUGUAGCGGUGAAAUGCUUAGAUAUCACGAAGAACUCCGAUUGCGAAGACAGUUCACUGGACUGCAACUGACACUGAGGCUCGAAAGUGUGGGUAUCAAACAGGAUUAGAUACCCCGGUAGUC